This 420-nucleotide ribosomal RNA is filed under the name uncultured bacterium. Its description in RNAcentral is "bacterial SSU rRNA". It matches the Rfam family "Bacterial small subunit ribosomal RNA", at positions 355 to 774 of the family's 1533-position model. The record is from RNAcentral.
UAAGGAAUAUUGCUCAAUGGGAGAAAUCCUGAAGCAGCAACGCCGCGUGGAGGAUGAAGGGUCUAUGACUUGUAAACUCCUGUAAAGAAGGAAAAAAUUCCCAUUAGAUGGGAGAUGAUGGUACUUCUGGAGUAAGCCCCGGCUAACUACGUGCCAGCAGCCGCGGUAAUACGUAGGGGGCAAGCGUUGUCCGGAUUUACUGGGUGUAAAGGGUGCUCAGGCGGAUUUGUAAGUCAGAGGUGAAAUCUUACAGCUUAACUGUGAAACUGCCUUUGAUACUGCAAGCCUAGAGUAUGGAAGAGAGUGAUGAAAUAUCUGGUGUAGCAGUGAAAUGCGUAGAUAUCAGAUAGAACACCAAUGGCGAAGGCAGUCACUUGGUCCAUUACUGACGCUAAAGCACGAAAGCGUGGGUAGCAAACA